CACACACACACACACACACACACACACAGGUGUGUGUUCGCACCGGGCAACGAACCCAGCUGUUGCCCCACUCGGGCACUGUGUGCCGGCAACAGUUCUUGGCGACCCAGAUGGGACUCGAGGCUGAAAUUUAGCCUUGCCCGGACCCCUCCUGGUGGUCGAUGGAUUGUGGCAAUGACUGACGCCCAGCGUGCACCGGUGACUAUCAGGGGCCUCGGCGGAGACACAGUUUGAUCGACCCCGGAGGGCACAACGGUGCAACGCGCUCAAAUAGUGGAGAAGCAGUUGCGGGCGACGGUGCGGAUCCGGUCCCAUGGAUAAGAUAAGUUUUUGCCAUUAUAAAACUAGUGAAGUUUUAGCAGCAAGAUAUGCAGUUUGUACUGUUUGGAAUGUAAUGGAAUCUACUCCUGUACCUGCUGUUUUUUCCCUUCUCUCCUACGAUCGCCAGCUCCUUUGCCAUCUCUUUUGGAACUGGCCCUCCUGUAAGACCAAGCCCCAAAAAUCGGAAAAGCAGGAGUGGAUACUGGCAGGGUGCACCUUGUACCCAGACCACUACUGGUGCAGCUCUGAUGGCCACAUUGUUGCCCCAGGGUCUUUCUACCUCCCCUUGCCUCCAUGCUCCAUGGAUUGUCGCACAUUGGCAAAAGUAAAACAACAUUGAUUUGCUCCCAAAUUCUCCCAAGCAGCCAAAGAUUACUGUUUGGUUUGCCCUGUCUGCCAAGCCCACAAUGUGGGUAAACCUGUAAAGACAGUUCUGGCAACCAGACCUCCGCCUUUGGGAAUUUACAAAUGGACUUUAUUCAAUUGCCUAAAUGUCAAUUUUUUAAAUAAUGUGCUGGUUAAUGUUUGCUUGUUUUUGAGAUGAGUGGAAGCUUAUCCCUGCAGGAAAGCUGAUGCCAUCACAGUGGCAAAGAAACUUCUAAAUCAUUACAUCCCAUCAUGAGGAAUACCCCUGGUGAUCUCCAGUGAUAGAGGUUAAAGACGCCUUCCAGGAGGUCCCGACUGAGCCGUGCCAUAAACUACAACCAGGAGACUGGGUUUGCGUGAAAGUUCAUCAGCAGAAAACUGCCCUGGAACCCAGGUGGAAGGGUCCCUACCAGGUCCUUCUGACCACCUUAUUGCUGUAAAGUACGAGGAAUUUCCCACCUGGAUUCAUGCCUCCCACUGCAAACUGGUUCCAGUGCCUACAUAGGUUGGCCCCAACAAGGAGCACCGCAGACCUGGUACCAAAAACCCAGGUCCAGAAGUAGACGGGGAUCAGCACAGGCAUGGUACCGCACGUUCAUGCCCAGAAGCAGACGACGUCAGACUUCGAGGGAGCCAUGCACGUUCAUCCCACCACGAAUCGGGUGAACCAGAAGCAGAUGACAUCUGUGCCCGAGGCAAAUGAACUGCUACCCCCUUAGGCAACCUG
Pelodiscus sinensis (Chinese soft-shelled turtle) is the source of this 1414-nucleotide non-coding RNA. The record is from RefSeq and is a predicted model, not a curated record. Lineage: Eukaryota; Metazoa; Chordata; Testudines; Trionychidae.